AAUAAUAAGAGGGGAGGGGGGAGGGACCACCCUACCCGCGUAGCAGCCCCACUACUGGCCCCUCCUUCCACCAGAGAAUGUUCGAUACAGGUCGCAGAUUUCGCAUGCCUUUCCUGACCUGUGGGCUCACCCCACUGAACUCACCGCCUCACAUGUAGGUACGUCACCUCAGCGCCACCUCGGUACAGGUGGAAGGAAAGCAUAUCCGCCAACGAGCCAUCCGGACAUGGGGCAUACGCCCGCAUGUUUGGAACCUGGACAACUCGGAUGGAAUUAUCGCCCCCUUACCACCAGGCUACCACCUUGGUGGCUAGUAUUCUAUAUGUUCGAUCACUUUUCUCUGCUUAACCUUAAAACCAAUUCAUCCACACCUGCCAAGUUGAUGAUGGUCGAGAACAAUAAACACAUCUUAACUUAAUAUAUUUAGGAAAUCAUCCUUCGAUAAAUGAGAAAAUUUAUCGGCGUGUUUGGUUGAGAGAGCUGAGAUCUGAAAUGGAAAUAGGAAUGAGUGAUCCUCACUCCAACCAUUUAGUUGGAAGGAGUUUCAUUCCAAUUCACAUUCCAAGGAGGAC
This 572-nucleotide long non-coding RNA is filed under the name Phoenix dactylifera (date palm). RNAcentral describes it as "long non-coding RNA (PDAC_LNC021079)". The record is from RNAcentral. Lineage: Eukaryota; Viridiplantae; Streptophyta; Magnoliopsida; Arecales; Arecaceae.